Molecule: small RNA, 195 nt
Filed under: Lachnospiraceae bacterium TWA4
Lineage: Bacteria; Bacillati; Bacillota; Clostridia; Lachnospirales; Lachnospiraceae
Description: Clostridiales-1 RNA
Rfam family: Clostridiales-1 RNA
Source: Rfam by way of RNAcentral
UGAUACUAGGGUCAAAAGGUCACAUUUUCAUGCUUGCAUGAAAAAUUGUGACUUUGGGACCCGCAAAAACAUGAAAAAUUCGUCAUAAGGCAUCCGUCACUUUGUGACACCUUACGACAUAAAGCAGCCCAAUUAGGGCGAAUUUUGAAUGUUUUUAGGAUUUUGAGAGUGCAAAGCACGAAAAAAUCCGUAUCA